UUCAAUUGCUUCGCUUUUCUCUAGUCACAUCGACCUAGAUGUAGAGGAAGACCAACAAAUGGAGUCGUUUGACCAUAUGAUGUCUCACUCCGUCACUGCUUAUGUGUGUUUCUUGCGUGAUAGAUGCGGAAGCGAUAGGUAGGUAAGCAAGGCGGAGGGUCGGGUGGCUCUAGCACUCCGGCGGCAAAGACAGGCCACCCUUUUAGAAGCGUUGAUACAACUGACUGGCGAUCGGUCACCACUACCACUAAUCUCCUUCUUCCACCGUUGCUUACGGUGUUCUCUUUUUCCUCUCCCAAUGAAAUUCAUUCUUUACAGGCAUCCCUUUUGAUCUUCCAACUUUUAUCUCUCCGUCUAUUCCACACUAUCUGGGUUUAUUUCCGGAUCUGACUUCAUUUUUUUUGUUCGUUUCCGACUUCUUGGGGUUUAUCCUUCCGCCUUGUCGUCAAGUGAGGGUUUAUCGAUUAAUUUUACCGUCCGUUUUUCAUUUCGAUUUUCUCCAUAAGGGUAACGUUUCACUUAAGGAUUUAUUUUCCCUUUUUUGAAAUCGCAAUUGGACUUGAAUGGCUGCUGGUCACCAGAUAUAUAAUAAUCUACUUCUUGUCUGAUGGGUCUAUUUCUUUUUCUUUUAUUUGAUUGGUUUUGAUUUCUGUUUGCUUAAGUAGCUUUCAGACCAUCAGCAAGAACAACUGUAGUCUCUACCUGUGGAGCUUUGGGAAUCAUGAAGAGAUAACGUCGAAGUUAUCAACGUCUCUCAAUUCCUGUGGAUAAAAACCCUCAAGGCAGCUUCAGUCGAGGACAUGAUUCAUAUAAGAGCAUCGUCUUCCUUUUUAUGACUUUCAAAUUUCAGUUCUUAUCCUUAUGGCACCAUAUUUGUGCUUAUGUUGGCUUUUUUUUUGGGCUGUUUGAAUCUCAGAUUGUUAAUGACUUCAUUUGAAGAUCAUUGAGCUUAGGAUUCCAGUUUGUUAAUAGGGUGAUAAAGGUAUUGGAAGAAUCUGGAAUCGUAUGCUAAGUUUGAUUAGACGUUGAAACAUUUUCCCACCAACUGUUUGUUAAAUUUUUUACUGAAUUCUCAUAUUUUUAUGUGGUUUGUAACUGAUACUGAUCAUUUAUUGGUUUAUGAGAUUUAUUCAAAUAAAGAAAUCAAAGAAUAAAAUAUUGGUUUUUGUUUUUGAAUCCCAGGUACACCUUUGGCAAAUGUUAUUUUUUGGAGCGAGCUUUUGACUGAUACUAUUAAGGUUAGUAAUAUAAUAUUGCACAUAAAAAUUGAUUAAUUGUUUGCGUAUUAGAUUUGUGAUUUUCUUUGUGGUUAUUCACUUGUUUGUAUAAAUAAGAUUUAAGGGCCUUACGAGGCUAAGUGUAUUCUUUCAUGGAAAUUGAAAUGAUGAUAAGUAAGAUGUGCUAUGUGCGAGAAAUGGUCUGGUAUAAUUAAAGUGAUGAUCCUCCGAUGAACACGUAACAAUUUAGUUUUUUUUAUUGAGAAAAUCAACAUACGGUGUUGUCGAAUACUUUCCACAGGUAUAGUUUCAGUAUAUAUACUUAUUGCAUUAUAAUUUUGGAAUUUAAAUGUUUUAAACUUUUUAAUUCUUUUUUCAAACGUAUAAUCAGAGGCUAAGUGUAUUCUUUCAUCACAAUUCUAACAUUUUUGUUUAUUAUUCUUAAAACAUUGUUUUUGAGCUUGAUAUGUUUAAGUAGUUUGAGUUUUCUUGACCGUUGGAGCUAUCUUAAAUAUAGUUUUUUUUUUUUUUUCUACUUUUACUUUUGAAGUACUAGCUUCAUUCUUUUAUCAAGAUGGUCAUAACACGAGGAUCUUUUUAAUUAUAAGGAUUCAUUAUUAUUAUCAAGAUGGUCAAACCACCUGGUGGUCGUGUUGUAGAAGAAUGAAGACAAAAUAGUCGUGAAAAAGGCCAUCGUCAUGUCAUUACGACUAACCUGUCAUGUCGUAAUGAACGCACUAAACAACUUAAUGCCUUGUGCUCUUAAUCCUUCAAGCCAAGCAAACAAGGUUUCAAUAAGGCUUUCUCCAUCUCAAAAUACUAUAAAAUUCAUAGUUGUUUUGAUAUACAUAUCCAAGGCAUGUUCUAAACACCAGCUAGGUCAAAAUGAAUGGAAAAUGAGAUCAACUCUCAUGUAUAGAACUCAAAGCUCACUAGUAUUAUAGAUCUAGGACAAAGGGAUAAAAGGGAGUGUCAAGAACUCAUAAAUUUGUGAACUUUAUAAGUUUCCAACACUCAAACACCCUCAAAAAGUGAGAAAAAUGAACCAAACCCUAAAUCUAAAAUGCUUGAGAAAAAAAGAUAGGAACUUGAGGACUUACAAGAGCCCUAAUGUAACUCAAGAUGAUGAGGGAGUGGCUCUCUAGCGGAGAUGAUGUACCAAUAUUCCUUAUCUUUUUCUUCAAGGCUUCAAAUUACCCAAAAAAAGGGCUUAGAGAUCAAAUACGGAGGAUUAGGAUUUCUUCAAGGAGAAGGGAAGUGAAAGAGGUUGAGGUUGUGUAAACCCUAGCCGCUCACUUCCCUUAAAUAUGGGACAACUUCGAAAUUAGGGUUUUUCACGCAAAGGUUGUCACGUCGUGACCAGCAUGUGUGUCACGUCGUGAGAGCCAAUAAGAUGCGUGUUCCUCAUCGAGCACCGUCAGUCGUGACACAAAUGUACUCACGUCAUAACUAAGGAUUCAAUCCUUAAAAGCUAAAUAAUUAUUCAAAGGUGAUGCUUACCUUGAACUGGGUGUUACAAUUCUCGCCCACUUGAACUAGAUUUCGUCGUCGAAAUCCUCAGCUACAAAUAGAUAUGGUUAGUGCUCGUGCAUCUCUGACUUGGGCUCCUAAGUCCACUAGGAACCCUUCUGAUUCUGCCAUUAAACGUUGACUAAGGGCACCACCUUUUUAUGCAAGGCCUUCUUCUUCUUAUCCAGAAUAGCCAUCGGCUUCUCCACAUAAUUCAAGUGCUUAUACACCUGAAUGUCAUAUAUUGGGACCACCGCUAUAUCAUCAACCAAGGACUUCCGAAGCUGAAAUACAUGGAUGGUAAUAUGAAUCUGACUAAGCUCCUCAUGCAAAUCCAACCGAUAGGCCACUUUGCCUAUCCUUGCCACUACUCCUAAAGGUAUGAUAAAUCGGGGGCCAAACUUGACCUUCUUCCUGAAGCGUAUAACACCCUUCCAUGAUGAUAUCUUUAGUAGAACCACGUCCCUAACCUGAAGAUCCAACUCAGGCCUUUGCCUAUCAGUGUAACUAUUAUGCCGGCUCUUGCUAUCUAUAACCUCUGCCUGAUUUGAUGAAUAAGUUUUUUCGUUUGGAGAACCACCUGAAUCCUCCUUAUUACCCUAUGACAGACCUCUCCCUGAUAAAUUGGAGUACGACACUUCCUCCCAUAUAAAAGCAUGUACGGAGGUGCACCAAUGUUGGAAUGAUAGAUGUUGUUGUAAGAAAAUUCAGCUAGGGGAGGUAUGAGUCCCACCUCCUACCGAAAUCAAUGACACAAGCCUUGAACAUAUCCUCGAGUGUAUGAAUAGUCAACUCACUCUGGUCAUUAGUCUGACGGUGAUAACUGGUGCAGAAGUGUAGUCUCGUACCUUACUACUCGUGAAAACUUUUUCCCUUGGCACACAACACACGACUGGAUUUCCUCGGGUUUGUUUGCCUAUAGCACAAAGUCGUACCUCCUCAAACCAACCGCAUUAUGUCGACAUAUACAAGCAGAUAAACAAUAGCCAUCAAUACAGAUAAUCAUACAAAUUUACCAAUCUAACAUAUUACUUUAUUAUACCAAUUUCCAAUACAAAAUGACACAUACAUCAAUAUAAAGUAUAAUGAGAAAACUCACCUUCCAGCCUAGAUGAUAUGAACACUGAUCACAGAUCCUAUAACCAACACUACAUGUCACUUAUACAUCAAAUAAGGACCACAUCUCAAAACUACAACCCAAAACCCAAAACUUGACUUGAAGUCAAACCUAGUCUAAAAGUCAAUGGUCAAUGUCAAAGUCAACACUCAAGAGUUAUUCAGCUAGUUGCCACAUCGUGACCCCCUGUUGGUCACAUCAUGGCAGAAUGAAGACAAAGUGGUCAUCAAAACAUGGCAUCGUCACGUUACUCCGACCAACUCGUCACGUCAUGAAUAACAAACUGAACAACUUAAUGUCUUACGCUCCUAAUCCUACAAGCCAAGCAACCAAACUUUCCAAAAGGCUUUCUCUAUCUCAAACUACCAGACAUGCAUGUCCAAUGAAUGUCCUAAACACCAACUACGUCAAAAUGAAAGGAAAAUGAAAUCAAAUCCCACGUAUGGAACCCAAAGCUCACUAAUAUUCCAUAUAUGGGAAAAUGGAUACAAGGGAGUCACAAGAACUAAUAAAAUUGUCAACUUCAUGAGUUUUCAACACUCAAACUCCCUCAAAAGGUGAGGAAAGUGAACCAAACCCUACAUCUAACAUGCUUGAUCUAAAAAGACAGGAACUUGAGGACAUACAUGAGUCCUAAUACAACUCAAGAUGAUGAGGGAGUGGCUUCCUAGCUGAGAUGAUGCACAAAAAUGCCUUCUCUUCUUCUUCUUCUUCUUCUAGUAUUCAAAUCAUCAAAAAAGGGCUCAAAGAUCAAAUAUGGAAGAAUAGGGUUUCUUGUGGGAGAAUGGAUGUGAUGGAGGUUGAUGGUGUGCAAACACUAGCCCCUAACUUUCCUUAAAUGGGGGACCAACCUCAAAAUUAUGGUUUUCCAUGCAAAGGCUAUCACGUCGUGACCAACAUAUGUGUCACGUCGUGAUAACCAAUGAGAUUGGCGUUCCUCACGGGGCAACGUCCUGUCAUGACAAAAAUGUGCUCAUGUCAUGACUAAGGCUUCCAUCCUUAAAACACAAAUAAUUAUUUAGAAGUGAUGCUUAAACGGGUGUUACAUGAUAAGUUAUUGGUGUGAAUUAUAUAUCGACAUAAAAUUUUAUAUAGGAUAAUGAUUAUAUUAUAACACAAAUUAGGGGAUAUGCUUGUCUGAACAUGGACGUGAGGAUAAUGAGCUUGAAAAUGACAAACACCUAAUCAUAGAUACUAUUCUAAACAACAUAAAAUCAUAUAUAUAUAUAUANAUAUAUAUAUAUAUAUAUGACAUCCCCAAAUUAACGAUCAUUUUAAAAUUUUAAUUUAUGCUUAUUUUAAAAUCAGAGUAUCAUUUUUAAAGAACAAUGUUGCAAAAUUUGUUCCCAAAAAAAACAUGAUAAAUAUGUUAUCAAAUCAUUUCCAAAGAAAUGUAUUUUAUUUAUUCUAAAACUUUGGGAUGUCAUCGUCACUACAAAAGCAUAAACAUAAACAGAACUUACAUUCAUUUACACUAGUGAUCUACAUCUCUUUAAUCUCCCGGUGUAGUGUAGCUUUAUAUCGACACCUGUGAUAGAAAUAAAUUGAGAGGGUCAGGUUGGGAAACCUGGUGAGUACAUAGAGUUUUCAACCCACAAUAAUAAAGUUAUUAUGUUUAAUCAUCAAAAAAUAAACCCAAUUACACAUUGUCAAUAUCUUCUUUAUUUUUAAGUAUCUUCCCUAAGAAUCAUCUAUUCCUCAUUAUAUAUUCCUAAGGAUUGUCCUAAAGAAUGGGCACGAAGUCCAUUGUUGUCAGGGUUUGUAUAACAAGCACUAAGUCUAUAGUUGCAAAGGCUCAUCUAACCGACACUAAGUCCAUAGCUGUCAGGGUUUAUCUCAUUUAUUGAUUGUAUUAUUUUAGGGAGUCCACCCACAAUACAGGUCAAUGGGUUUUUAGAGUACCCAGGGUGAGGACAUCGUUCACAAAACCCACAAGUUGUGAGCCUGCUAGUGUUCCACUAGACUCUCUAGAAUAGUCUGUGGUUGUUAUAUGUAGUCUGCUAGAUGACAAGACCAUCGCUUUGGUCAUUGCUUGGGUCAUCGCUUGGGUCAUCGGUUCUCACUAUUAUUUACCACUCAUAUAUCAUCGCUCAUCAUUCAUCUCAAUCUACCCAUCUUUGACCUGUCAUAAUUAUAGGUAUAAAAUACAUAUACAGUUUAAAACAAUUAAAACAUGUAUAUUUUUGUUCAUCCAACAUAAAUAUUAAGUACACAUAUAAUAUGCACACAUAGCAUGAAAUUUAUAUUAAAUACUUCAUAUCUAUGUGUAAGAUAAAAGUAACUAUAUGCUCACUUGUUAAAGUGAUGACUCCAAACUUGGACAGCGCUCCGCUUCUUAAUAUAAUUUCCUUCGAUGAAACUAAAUAUUAUUACCACUAGAUUUUAGUCUAAUGUUUCUCAUGACUAAUUACUAGUUUUAGUAUUAUUAUUUAUAUAAGUGUUUGGCAAUGCUUUUCAACCACUAUGUACAGACAAGGCUAGACAUAAAACACCAGAGGGCAGGACCAUCUUGGCAUAUAGCACUUAUGAAAUCCAACAAGCCUAUACGGCCCUUUAAACCAGAUUCCCUAUACGGCGAGUAGUUAAAAACUAUAUAUUAACACUUUUUAUUUAUAUANNNNNNNNNNNNNNNNNNNNNNNNNNNNNNNNNNNNNNNNNNNNNNNNNNNNCAUUGAUGAAUCUUUCUAAAAAGAUUCUUGAAGCGCUUCUAUGCUCAUCUUCCCAUACUAAAACUACAAAAAGAGAAGUCAAAUCACGAGGGACCGAAAUGCUCGGGAGAUAAGAAGAGAAAGACUCUUGAAUCAAGAGAAUGGUGCAAGAAGUAGGAGAGCCUAGAGGCUCUUAUUUAUAGUAAUUAAAUUUUCAAAAAUUAUCCUGUAUAGUUACUUAAUGACCUUAUAGUUAUAUAAACGACCAAACACCCCUUUAUAAUACAAUUUUUAAUAGAUUUAAUGAUAUUUAUACUAAACUAAUGUCGAAAGUCCUCAACACUAGUCUUAUAACGACCGCAUCGUCGAUACCUUUAUAUGCAUAUAUANNNNNNNNNNNNNNNNNNNNNNNNNNNNNNNNNNNNNNNNNNNNNNNNNNNNNNNNNNNNNNNNNNNNNNNNNNNNNNNNNNNNNNNNNNNNNNNNNNNNNNNNNNNNNNAUAUAUAUAUAUAUAUAUAUAUAUAUACACAUGUAUAUAUGAUUUAUACUUUAUUUUAAUAUGUAAAUAUGCUAUUAUAAUUUAUAACUCAUUCAUAGUAACUCUGUUUUUGACGUUCUUUAUAUUUUUAUUUUUCAUCAAUAUUUUUAUAAAAUUAAAUGACUUUGCUAAAAUCAUAACUCUCUCAAACGGACUCAAUUUGUGGCAUUCUUUUUCUCAACAUUCCUAUUUUAAGGAAUACUAUGAUUUACGUUUUGGUGUCAUUAGCUAAAAGUCAACCAUUCUCUUUGUAGCUUUUUAUGUCACAUAUUCCUUGUGUGCGGGUGACUUUUAUAUCUUAUAAAAAUAAUAUCUAAUUCAUAAGGAUUCACAUUUCGAAGAAAUUUAUAUUUUAGGGAUCGGAAAAGACGUGAUAUUCGCCGCAUCACGUGGGACGACAUAAUUAUAAUUAAUAUAUAAAUUGUAGGUGUUGUAUAUUCAAAUUAUAGUCUUUCAUAAAAUUACUUCAUAUAUAGAUGAAAUAUUUAACUUGGUCUUUUAUCAAUAUGACUAGCUAGUUUGUUUGUAAAACUAAAAUAUAUUGAAUGAUAAAUAUUUUGAUUUUGCCAAUUGAAUAUCAUUUUAAUUAUUUUAACAUAAAUAAUUCAAAAAAAUCUUACCUUUUUGAACCCCGCUCGAUAAAAAUAAAUGCCCAAAAAAUACUAAUGACAUCAUACUAUAUUAUAAAUAAAUCACUUUUUCUUUCACCGCAUUCAUUGGAAACUCGCUACUAUUCAUAUUUCCAUAUAAUAUACUUGAUUUAUUAACAUAAAUAUCUUUUUAGUUGUAAACAUUAUUAUAAAUGAAAGACUUUCUGACUUAUCAAUAUAAUAUACUUACUUUGUUAACUUCAAUAUAUUGUUAAAUAAAUAACCUACAUUAAUAUUAUCAAAUUAUCUUAAAAUUUUAAUUUAAAAUUAAAAACCUAAAGUAAAAUAUCAAAUAAUGUUUUUUUUAUAUUGAAUAUAUAUAUAUAUAUAUAUAUAUAUAUAUAUAAAGGUAUUUACAUCUAUUUNNNUUAAAUAUAAUAAAUAUAAAGGAACUUAAAUCAAUGAAUGAAAUUAACUAAAAGGUGUCUGAAAACUAUAUUUUAUAAUAACUAAAAUUCAAUUAAAUAGUUUUUAAAUUAAUUUAUAAUAACAAUAGUUGAAAAUGAUAGAAACUUAGAAAUUAAAUUAUGUUACAUUACAAACAGUUGAUAAUUAAAAUAAUCAACAUGAUAAAAUUAAAACACCAUCAAUUUUUUUUAAUUAAUAAAUCAUAACAAUAGUAAGUUGAAAUAUUUGACAAAUAUAACUAAUGUUAUACACACAUAAAACAAGAGUACAGAACAUUAAAUUAUUUGAUUUUAAUAAGUGUUAUUUUAUCUAUUGUUCAAAUUAAUUAUAAUUUUAUAUAAAGUAAAUGUAAUAAUUAUUAUUUUAUAGUUAAUAUAAAUGACAUAAAAUUUUCAAUAACAUUAGAUUACCAAAAGUUUUAACUUUUCAAUUUCUUUCUAUCAAUAAUUUAUAAGUUUGUUAAUAAGGUUAAAUGAAUAUCAAACAAAUCGUAUAUAAACAAAAUUUCAAUAUUGAAAGAAUAUAUUUAAACCUACUUAUAGAUUUAUGUUUUUAAUUUUUAACAUAUUUUACUUAAUUUAUUCGUAUUAAUAUGUUGUUUUCAUGCAAACCAUUAUCAUUUUAAAGCUACAACUUUUGAACAAUUUGUAUAGAAUACUUACAGGGUCAACUUAAAUGUAAAUUUUAGUUCAACUUAAAUAACCAAGGAAUAUAUAUUGUAAAUAGUGAUAAAUUGUAGUAUCUUUCUAAUAAUGAUUAUAAGUUAGUUAAUAAGGUUAAAUAAAUAUCAAACCUAAAGUGUAAUCAUAAAAAACUAAAUUUUAAUAUUAAAGUAAUAUCUCUACUUCUACUUAUAAGGUUAUGUCUUUAACUUUUAACAUAUUAUACUUAAUUGAUUAGAUUUAAUAUAUAGUUGUAUGCAACCAUUAUCACUUUUGAAGCUACAACUUUUGAAUAGUUUUGACAAAAAACUUAAAUUGUUAAUUUAAAUAUAACAUUACAGUGUCAACUUAAAUAUAAAUUUCAAUUUCCACUUAAAAACCGAAAGAAUAUUUUGUGAAUAGUUAAAAGUGAUAAAUUGUGGUGCUAAGUGCAAAAACUAAAUUGCACUCUCAAUUUAACUAAAAUAUUUCCUGAUGAUAUUUUUAUAAUCGUUAAAAAUAACUGUUUAUAAAUGAUUAUAUUGUUACCUCUAAAAAAACAAUGUUUGAUGUUUUAAAUAAUUACAAUGAGAGAAGAUAAAACAUUUAGCAAAUAAAUUUUAAAAAAUUAAUUAUCAACAACAACUAUAAAUAACAUUAAACUAUAUCUUAUAUUUAAUUGAAUUCAUGAAUAACCCGCAGGUGGAGGUCACUCAAACAAUUGACAUUAUGUAGUUUUAACAGGUGUAUAUAUUACAUAUAAUUCAAAAUAACCAAUAUAUCAUAUCAACUUAUCAUACGAAUUAUUAUAUCAAAUUUAACAACAACGUUAUUGUUACAUUUAAAAAAAACAUAUAUUUGUAAAGAUUUCAACUAUAUAGGUGUUUCUGCGCAACGUGCGAGCAUUCGCCUAGUGUUGUGUAUAGGAGAAUGAUCAUCAUAUAAUCAUAUCAUAUCAUAUUCAUAUUAUAUUAUAAAGGAAUCAUUUUUUCUUUUCACCACAUUCAUUUGAAACUCCCAUACAAUUUUCCUUUCACCACAUUCAUUUGAAACUCCCAUGACUUUUCAAUUUCUUUCUAAUAAUAAUUAUAAGUUAGUUAAUAAGGUUAAAUAAAUAUCAAAGCUAAAGGUUAAUCGUAUAUAAAGUUUAUUUCAAUAUUAAAAUAAUAUAUUUACUUCUACUUAUAAAGUUAUGUUUUUUUUUUUUUUUUUACUUUUAACAUAUUAUACUUAAUUUAUUAGUUUUAGUAUAAUAUUGGAUGUAAACCAUUAUCAUUUUAAAGAUACAAUUUUAGAACAAUUUGUAUAAAAUACUUAAAUUAUUAAUUUAAAUAUAACAUUACAGGGUCAACUUAAAUAAAAAUUUUAGUUUAACUUAAACAACCCAAAAAAUAUUUUGUAAAUAGUUAUAAAUGAUAAAUUAAAGUGUCUUUUCUAAUAAUGAUUAUAAGUUGGUUAACAAAGCUAAAUAAAUAUCAAACCUAAAGUGUAAUCAUAAAUAAACUAAAUUUCAAUUUUAAAAUAAUAUCUUUACUUCUACUUAUAAAGUUAUUUCGUUAACUUUUAAUAUAUUAUAAUUUGUUUAUUAUAUUGAAAAUGUUGUUGUAUCUAAACCAUUAUCAGUUUAAAGCUAGAAAUUUUGAACAGUUUACACAAAAUACUUAAAUUGUAAAUAGUUAAAAGUGAUAAAUUGUAGUGAUAAAUGCAAAAACUAAAUUGUAAUCUCAAUUUAACUAAAAUAUUUCCUAAAUAUAUUUUUAUUAUCGUUAAAAGUUUCAAAGAAGUAGCUUAAAAUAACUUACAAUAACAAUAGUUAAAAACAACUUUAUAGAAAUGAUUAUAUUAUUACCUUUAAAAUAAACAAACAAUGUUGAUGUUUUAAAAAAUUAUAAUGACAGAAAUUAGAACAUUAAGAAAAUAAAUUUUAAAAAAUUAAUUAACAUUAACAACAACUAUAAAUAACAUUAAACCAUAUAUUAUAUUUAAUUUUAUUCAUCUGUAACUCGUGGGUAGAAGUCAUUUAAACGAUUGACUAAAUUACAAUAUUAAAAUUUCAUAUUAUAUUUCUGUUUAUAAAAUUAUGACUUUAAAUUUUUAACAUAAUAUAUUUAACUUAUUAGGUUAAAUAUGUUGUCGUAUGUGAGCAACUAUCGUUUUAAAGUCACAACAUUUGUAAAAUUUACAAGUUGAUGCAAAAUACUUAAAUUAUUAAUUUCAAUAUAAUAUUAAACAAUUAAUUUAAAUCAAAAUUUCAGUUAAUCUUGAAAAAACUCGGGAGACUGUUUUAUAAAUAGUUAAAGAUUAUAAAUUAUAGUUUUAAACCUAAAUUGUAAUCCUAAAUUAAAAAAAACCAUGAAACUGUUUUUCAUAAUCAUUAACAAUUUUCAAAUAAAUAGCUUAAAAAUAACAUACAAUAAAAAUAGUUAAAAGUAAUAUUAUAUAAAAAAACUGUAAUAUUUUCUUUGAAAACAAAAACAAUGUUUUUUUGUUUUAAAUAACUACAAUCAUCGAAACUAACAAUAUUCAUCAAAUAAAUUUUAAAAAUAUUAAAUUUAUGAAACAAAAUUAAAAUAAUUAACAGUUUUGAAAUACGUUAUUUUAAAUAACUUACAACAACAAUAGUUAAAAUUAAAUUAUAUACAAAAAUUAUAUUGUAGGCUUUAAAAACAAAAACAUUGUUCGAUAUUUUAAAUGAUUAUAAUGAUAGAAAUUAAAAUCUUGAGCAAAUAAACUUUUUUUAAUUAAUUAAUCAUAACAACUAUAAAUAUCAUUAAAUCAUAUAUUAUAUUUAAUUUUCAUUCAUAAGUAACCUGCACGUAGACGUCAUUAAGACACUUAGGAAUAUAUAAUUUUAAAAGAUAUCUAUAUUAUCAUAUAAUUCAAAACAAACAAUGUUUAUAUCAACUUAUUUUAAGAUUUACUAUAUAAAAACUAAUAACAAUGUCAUUAAUAUAUUUAAAAAACAUAUAUUUGUAAAAAUUUGAAAUAUAUUAUUGUAUUAUGCGCAACACGUGAAUAUUUGUCUAGUUUUAUUAUAAGACAAAAUAGGGGAUAGACUUGUAUGAGCAGAUGUACAAGAGAAUAUUGAGCUUGAAAAUGACAAACAUCUAACCAUAAAUACUCAUCUAAAACGUUUAGAAUCACAUAUAUAUGAAUCAUACAUGCCCCACAUAGUUAUUAUACAUAGUUAUUAUGAACCUUCAAUAUUAUGUAAAUAUUAUUUAUCAAAGUCGGUUAUACAUACAUAUAUUAAUGUCCACUUGCCUUUUCAGUUUCCCCAUUAAACUUCAUUUGCUUUUACAUUAUUUACUCAUAAACUAAUUUUUGAUCUAAAAGUUUUCACCCCUAAUAACUUUUAAGUUAAAUUAUAAGUAUGCUAUAAGUUUUGAUUUUGGUCGCUUACAGUAUUUAAAACUUACGUUUUUCGUCUCUUACAUAAUUUGUUUUUACUGUUUUCAUUUUUAGUAAUAUGACUUUUUGUUAUUACGAUUUUUAAUUAAUUUUCAUUUUUGUAUUGUACGAAUGAAAAUCUAUUUUCAAACCAUAUUUUUGUCUGCAUCAUCCAUACAUAAUUGUUUCGAUCGAAACUAUAUUUUAUACUUUUAUUGUUCACUCUGUAAAUGUGUUAUUUGCCACAAUACGUGGGGCCACAGAAUACGAGUUCUGCGUCGGACAUUCUAGUUAUAGCCUUUCAUAAAAGUAUUUUAUUUAUAGAUAGAAAUACAUCGAAGGAUAAAUAUUUUUGAUUUUGCAAAUUGAAUAUUAUUUUAAUGUCUUUAACCUAAUUUAUUCAAAAAAUACUUAUCAUUGUGAACCUUGCUAGAUAAAACACAUGUCCAAAUAAUACUAAUGACAUAUUGUGUUUGACAAGAGGGAAUAUCUAAAAAUCUAAUUGUUAGCAAAUAAAUUAUGUAAUAGAAAAUUAAGGGUUUCUAAUAUCUAUCUGAUAAGCUAUAAAUAUGAAAUAUAAACCAACAUUGAAUAAUAUAUUGGAGAAUGGUUAUAUUAUAAAACAAACUAGGGGAUAUGCCCAGAGACGGGGCCAGAAUUAUAGAAUAACGGGGCUUAUAUUUAAGAAUAUGAAAAUACAAUCUUUACCAUUUUUUUUUCAUUUAUUUAACCAUGCUACGAUAAUUGUAUAUGACCUAACUUGAUGUUUAGCUGGAUAACUUAAAACUGAAUGUUGAUUUCUAAGAUAACGAUCAAAGUAUCUAACUUUAAAGCAUUUAAAUAUAAAAUAUCAUUUUUUUUCGGAUUCAAUAUUAGUAAUUCGAUAUUACUAUUAUUUUUAGGUUCUAAGGGUGUAUUAUGAUCAUCUUCCUUAAUUAAUAUUAUUAGUAACAAAAUUCAUUUAUCGAUAAUGAAUACGUGCUUUUGGUUUUUAAAAAGUAAUCUUUGUUUUUUUUGGACUAGGAAUAUAAAACACCAAAUUAACAAUUAUAAUGAUAUUUUAAUUACAAAUUACAAAAAAAAAUUGAAUACAUAUAAUAAAUUUAAAGAUUUGGUUUGUCAUUAAUCCGAAUAUAACAUAGACAUAAAAAUAUUAAGUAAAUUUAUAUGUAAAAAAAAUAUUAAAAUAUCAUGUCCAAGUCAAUUGAAUUCAUUAGUAGAGGCGGUGGGUUUUCAUUUCAUAGUGUAUAUUUAUGUGUGGCUNNNNNNNNNNNNNNNNNNNNNNNNNNNNNNNNNNNNNNNNNNNNNNNNNNNNNNNNNNNNNNNNNNNNNNNNNNNNNGUCUGCCCCGGUAUUGGCUCCGCCAUUGGAUAUGCCCAUGCAAACUCGUGAGUGAGGAUAUUAAGCUUGAAAAUAACAUUGAUGUGUUUCUUUGAUAUAAAAAAACAUAUAUUUUUAUAGUUGAAGAGAAAGGUUAAUUACAUAGUAAACAUUACAUUAUCUUGAAAAAAUAAAUAAACAUAUCGAGAUGUUAAUUUUCUUCUUGAAAAUUUCUUAAAUGUUUUAUGCUUCAUUACGAUAGUCAAUAAAGAAACUCAUACAUCACGUAUUAAGUAAAUACUUCAUAUAAAUCAUAAUUAAUUGUUCUAUUGAUUGCAUUUAAUUAACGUGGUGUGUAGACUAAAACUUGUUAUCCAAACUUAAAAUUAUGGAUGUUGAUAUCAUGUAUCAUUUCUUAUAAAAAGUUAAUAUUAGUGUACACUAUCACUUACCCUAAAAUUUCACUUCCAUCAAUCCAAUUAACAAUAGCGUAUCCAUAAAUGGCUAACUUCAACUAUUUGUAAUAGGGUUGAAUUUGACAUAGAAAAUUAGCAUGCUUUGAACAUGGAUCAUGAAAAUAUAACAAACAUACAAACAUCAUAGAUGCAAUUCCACAACAGAAAAUUGCACCGUCAAAAUGAUUUGGACUAGCUUUUUAUGGUGCUUCAAUGUGGAGUUGGUUUUAAUNNNNNNNNNNNNNNNNNNNNNNNNNNNNNNNNNNNNNNUAUAUAUUCGAUAGUAAUAUAAUAUGUUCGGUGGGAAUAAUAUUUUUGAAUGCACUUAUAUAAAUUUUAUAUUUUCCAAUGUUGAAACACAAUAACAUUAAAAUCACAUCGCAAAGAACUCCAGAAGGUCUAUCUAAACUUUUCAAUCAUUCAUGUACUCUUCUAGCACAUUAAUUUUUACCUUGAUCCUCUCACCAAGAGAAUAUAGCAACUCCAUUGAAGAUUGAAUAAGCUUCGUAUAAAGGGUCAUUGACUUGUACAUUAAUAUUUUUACCAUGAAUGUACUUGAAGAGACUGGAUACAAACGAGUUUCUACAAACUAUGCAUCUGCUCAUUACUAAAUUUUAUUGUUUCUUAUAAGGUUGUUAGUGUACUUUUUCUUCGUUAUCAUAUGUGAUAUCUUGACAUAUGAAAAUCAUAAUUUCUUGUUUCGAGCAGAAGGUAGACAUUAUGUACAACACAAAGUCUGACUUGAUAUGAAGAAAAUGAUCAUGUUUAUAUAGUAACUAUCGUAUUAAGGAACCAAGUCACUUUCAUGCAAGUUAAAUUACAUGGUUAUAAUUAAAGAAGGAAAUUACAAAUUCUCUAUUCAAAAUGGUUGACUUCUUACAUGGGCGUUGUGAAUUAGUUUCGCUAAUUGGAAUAAAUGAAAAUGAAAGGAAAACCCUUGUUGAUGUGAAUUAUAAUAUCCUUAUUCCCGGUAUUUGAUUUAAAUCUAGUUUUAAUUUGGAUAAUUCACUGAAAAACUAAAAUAUGGAAUUAAUUGCAAGAAGUAUGACAUGCUUCUUAUGGGUGCAGCGUGCUCCAACCCAAGGGCUGAACAACUUUUUAGGGUUUAGGGCUAUUUUAGACCCUUAACUCUCUAGGUUUGAAUCAUUUAUGCUCUCCUUCAACCCUACAGAGAUCCUCCAUAAAACCUAACCCUUUUUCUCACCUUUUAAGCAUUAUAUCACCUUGGAUACUCAUUUUGCCUUAGUUUAUGCUUAAAUCUUGAAGAACAAGAUCUUGCUUGGUGCAUUGAAGUGGAGAACAAGUGUAGAUCCGAAACUUUUUUCUCCUCUCUCGGACCUUUGUGAGUCUAAAGCUUCAAACAUUCCUUGUUGUUGCUAGAUCUUUAAUUAUGUCAAUUUAUGUAUCUUUUUGUCCCCGUUUGUCGGUGAUCUUGUGGUUAAAUGAACUCUAUCACCAUGUAAGCACUUCAUGUUGAUUUUGGAGCCUUAUGGACUUAUAAAGUUUUGACCUUUAGCCUUACCUUAAUGCCAUGCAAAUCUUGGCGGUGUGUUAGGUCUUUUGGAAUGCAAAAGGCUAGAUCUUGGUUGUUCUGGUGUGUCUUAAUGGAAAAAAUUGGAAACUUUAUCUAUUUAGACCUUGUUAGAGUCCAUAUAUGGAGGGUGGGGUGGUAACUUAAAGGAUUAGCUCAUAAACCCUUAUGAAGAAGGCUUUAGUAAGAUGCUUGUAUCCUUGUGAGUGUGAUAUCCUCUAAUUUUCAGAACCAAAAGACCUUUCUUUACACUUUAAAAAUCAUGAUACUUCAUUUGCAGAAAAUCCCAGUAUAUAAAAUAUGUUUGAGAACAAUGAAUGGCUCAAAUAAAAUCCUAAGGAUGUCAUAACUAAAACAAAUACAUAAGUUUCGGUGUAAAGACCUAAUGAUCCUAAACACUAUUAUAGGUUGUCUAUACUCUACGUUCCUAAUUUCACACAUUCUUUGAAUAAAACUACCCAAUAUCAAACUUGAUUGAAUUAUGAAUCUAUAAUAAGUCUUAUUUCAUUAACGGGCGAAGACUACAAGGCUUCCAAUACCAACACUAUCAUAUUUCACUAUAUAUUUACUACAGAGUAUUUAAGUAUUAAUAUAAUUUUUUCCUCACUAAUAAUACUUCCAUUAUUAUUAUCAUGUAACUGUAUCAUAUAUGCAUCUUAACACAUGUAGAACCAUAUCUGGUUCGCAUAUUGUACAUUAUCAAUAUACAUCUAACACAUAUCCCAGGAAAUAAGUGUAUAUUUCACAUAUGGCUUUCAAUGGAUAUUUACUACUUUAAUUAAUACUUGUAUUAUAAUCAUUUACAUGAAAGGGACUACACACUCACUUCACUUAUGUGGAUGACUGGUGAUUUGGGUAGUGCUUUGCGUAACACCUUAACUUUUCUUUUUAUGUGACAUAAGUACGAUUAAUAAUGAGUCUUAGUAUAACUGUCCUGGUGACUAAUAAUAGUCUAAAUUUUUCACUAAUCCAAAUGUCUAUAUCAAGAUCUAUCAAGUAAGGAAUAACCAGGUAAGAUCAGAUUGGAGGUAGGGUCCGUUUGGUAUAAAUAGUAUACUGUUUGGAAAUCUCACUUUAAACACCUCAUUAAAUCUAGACUAGACAUCAUUCUCGUAAGUAGAUCAAUUAGUAAAAUGACUUGGAAUCACUAAUAAAUAUUAUUUAUAGGUUCAUAAUAAUGACUAUGAACAUAAAUAUAAGUUACAUUUGAAAUAAAAUAAGUUUAUCUUAACUUACAUAAAUUUUAGCUAAAACCAGGAAAUUGCAUGGGCAGAACUCCGAAACCGAAAACUCUAUCUGUCCGACGCUUUGGGGCUUCGCUAAAGUAGCCACAAACUAGAAAGUGAAGGGAUAGGGUUAUGAGAGAGUUCUAUAGGAAUUGGGUGGAAAAUAGUGAGGAAAAUGAGUAGAAAAUAUAACUAUUUAUAGCAAGAAUUUGCAGGGGCGCACCGGGCCUCUGGUCGGAAGAGUUGACAUGGCUUCUGUUGAGUGAUGCCACAUCUAAGCUUUAGGGUGGGGCUGCGUUGACUUGUCAGAGCACGCCGUGUCUCUUUUCAGCAUGCACGAAACUUUAUUAUUUUGCAAAUAUUAGUAUCCUCUUAAAACAAGCUCAUCCACGCGUAACUAUUGACAAACACUGCAACUUUCAUUUAGACUCUGUCGGCUAGUUCUCACUUUAUUUUUAACUUAUUAUUUUUGAAGGCUUAGACUGGUAAAAUCCAUUUAAAAAUCAUAUCCCAUUCAUACAACAUCCAUUCUCUACUUUGUUUAUCUCACCUGAUAAGUAUUGACGAGAUCUUUAACUCUCGUUUAGAUUGUUUUUCCUAACAAUCAAUCGAUCAUAAUUUUGGUUUUUGUGCUACACACUGCUAUGCUAAAACUUUAAAAAAUCAUAACUUCUUCAUAACAAGUCACAUUUGGAUGUUCUCUAUAUGCACGCGUUCUCUUUUACGGUUACUACGACGUUCAUUUAGGUUACUUAUGAUAAGGAUCAACUUCACUAGCUAUCUUUGAUUCAUUAUUUACAAAGCGCAUAGUUGUGUUGCUUUAAUUGCGAAACUUCGAAGAAACAUAACUUCUUCAUAUGAAAUCAGAUUUAUGCGCUCCUUCUACCUUCGAGAUAAUCAUUAUUACUACUACAUCUUCAGCUAAGAUUGUCUAUUAUAUUUUAAAUGUCUAACGCGAAUCUUUAGGUGUUACAGUGAGUUAGGAUGGCGUUAUCUUGUAGCGAGCUGUUAGACAGGUAAACUAGCUUAGAUACUUACAUGUGUUACUAUAUUGUUGUUAGUUGUUUAUUAUUAUAAACAUGUCAACAUGUCUUGUGGUCAGUUAAGGACAAUCUAACUUUUUGUUGAAGGUCAAGAAACUUAAGGCAUACCAGCUUUAUGGUGAGGGCCAGGGGCGGAUCGACUUUAUGUUAAAGGCUGAAGGGAUGAGCAUCAUUAUGUUGAAGGCUAAU
This 17881-nucleotide long non-coding RNA is filed under the name Lactuca sativa (garden lettuce). RNAcentral describes it as "long non-coding RNA (LSAT_LNC008670)". The record is from RNAcentral. Lineage: Eukaryota; Viridiplantae; Streptophyta; Magnoliopsida; Asterales; Asteraceae.